GCACGAUUAGCUAGUUGGUAGGGUAACGGCCUACCAAGGCUUUGAUCGUUAGCUGGUCUGAGAGGAUGGCCGGCCACACUGGAACUGAGACACGGUCCAGACUCCUACGGGAGGCAGCAGUGGGGAAUCUUGCACAAUGGGCGAAAGCCUGAUGCAGCGACGCCGCGUGGGGGAUGAAGCAUCUCGGUGUGUAAACCCCUUUCGACCCGGAAGAAUGCCUCGCAAGAGGACUGACGGUACGGGUAUAAGAAGCCCCGGCUAACUACGUGCCAGCAGCCGCGGUAAGACGUAGGGGGCCAGCGUUGUUCGGAAUUACUGGGUGUAAAGGGUUCGUAGGCGGUGUGGCAAGUUGGGAGUGAAAUCUCUGGGCUCAACCCAGAGGCUGCUUCCAAAACUGCUGUGCUUGAGUGUGGGAGAGGCGCGUGGAAUUGCAGGUGUAGCGGUGAAAUGCGUAGAUAUCUGCAGGAACACCCGUGGCGAAAGCGGCGCGCUGGACCACUACUGACGCUGAGGAACGAAAGCUAGGGGAGCA
RNAcentral lists this ribosomal RNA (532 nucleotides) under uncultured bacterium. RNAcentral describes it as "bacterial SSU rRNA". It matches the Rfam family "Bacterial small subunit ribosomal RNA", at positions 235 to 770 of the family's 1533-position model. The record is from RNAcentral.